RNAcentral lists this small RNA (510 nucleotides) under Pan troglodytes (chimpanzee). RNAcentral's name for it is "retained intron". Lineage: Eukaryota; Metazoa; Chordata; Mammalia; Primates; Hominidae. The record is from RNAcentral.
GCCUCCCACAGUGCUUGGAUUACAGGCAUGAGCCACCAUGCCCAGCCGAUAAUUUGCCAUUCUGUAUUUAUUUGCGUGUUAGAGACCAGUUAAAGUUAGACACUUUCUAAAUAGAAGUCUUGUAUAUGGGGCUUUUGAGAAAGUGUUUUCCCGUGAUGCUGGGGGGAAACACACAUAUUCAAAUUACUUGUAUAAAACAGUUUAUUCUGUGUUUAGGAACUUGUAGGGGUGAAAUGCUGACCUGUGUUACUCUUUCUUUCCAUGAUCAGCGUCCAGAGGACCAGAGGUUAAUUUAUUCUGGGAAGCUGUUGUUGGAUCACCAAUGUCUCAGGGACUUGCUUCCAAAGCAGGAAAAACGGCAUGUUUUGCAUCUGGUGUGCAAUGUGAAGAGUCCUUCAAAAAUGCCAGAAAUCAACGCCAAGGUGUGUCUGCCUCUUCAUGAUGGUAACAAUUUGUAUCAUUCAGACUUUCAGGGGAGUAAUAAAAGAAGUUGGAUAAAACUUUUAUCGA